AGCAGCCGCGGUAAUUCCAGCUCCAAUAGCGUAUAUUAAAGUUGCUGCAGUUAAAAAGCUCGUAGUUGAAUUUCGGGAUCAAUAUGUCGGUCGUGCCUCGGUACGUACUGGCUUAUUGGUUUCUCCCUUCUGACGAACCAUGGUGUCAUUAAUUUGGUGUCAUGGGAAAUCAGGACUGUUACUUUGAAAAAAUUAGAGUGUUUAAAGCAGGCUCACGCUUGAAUACAUUAGCAUGGAAUAAUGAAAUAGGACGUUUGAUUCUAUUUUGUUGGUUUCUAGGAUCGACGUAAUGAUUAAUAGGGAUAGUUGGGGGCAUUAGUAUUCAAUUGUCAGAGGUGAAAUUCUUGGAUUUAUUGAAGACUAACUACUGCGAAAGCAUUUGCCAAGGAUGUUUUCAUUAAUCAAGAACGAAAGUUAGGGAUCGAAGACGAUCAGAUACCGUCGUAGUCU
This 450-nucleotide ribosomal RNA is filed under the name uncultured Glomeromycotina. RNAcentral's name for it is "SSU rRNA". It matches the Rfam family "Eukaryotic small subunit ribosomal RNA", at positions 569 to 1026 of the family's 1831-position model. Lineage: Eukaryota; Fungi; Glomeromycota. The record is from RNAcentral.